This 225-nucleotide long non-coding RNA is filed under the name Panax ginseng (ginseng). RNAcentral's name for it is "long non-coding RNA (PGIN_LNC007553)". Lineage: Eukaryota; Viridiplantae; Streptophyta; Magnoliopsida; Apiales; Araliaceae. The record is from RNAcentral.
AUUAAGAUAAAUAGUUUAUAAGAGAUUAAGUAAGAUAAAUAAGGACCACCCAAUUCCAUGGUUAUGCUAACAAUGCCCCCAACAUAAAACUGUUUGUAUGCAUUCAAAUAGCUUGACUCCUCAUUUCAUCACUUUAUAUGUUUAGCUCCGAUGUGAUUGUUGCUUGUUUUAUUUUGAUGUCUUUGAGUGACAUAUUUUUAGUGUUUCUUGCUUUCUAUUUGUUAG